Homo sapiens (human) is the source of this 2651-nucleotide long non-coding RNA. Ensembl annotates it as long intergenic non-protein coding RNA 2706. Lineage: Eukaryota; Metazoa; Chordata; Mammalia; Primates; Hominidae. The record is from Ensembl.
ACGUCAGGACCCCGCCACCCCACUCUGCCCCUCCACCCGAGGCUGCCUUAUCCUUUUGCUUUCUCUCUUAAAUCUGCUGCCCGUUACUGCUAUUCUACCCUUUGGUAGGUGUCAACAGAUGUUCACACUUUCCUUUCUUUCUGAUGGUGGUCAGGAAACCUAGCACUCCACCUAAGGCGAAGAAGCCGGGCGUUUGUCUGUUGUGAGUGAGUGACAAGGGCGGAGGAGGCGUGCCAGGCUGGCUGCAGUACCAUUCCCUGAGUCUGGCACUGCCUGAAGGGAGCCCUGCCGGUCACAUCAGACGUUCCUAAGGGGCCUGGAGUGAAAGGUGCUUGCAGGGAGCAAGUGAAAGUGGCGCCCCCACCCAGUCUGCCCAUUCCACCUCUCUUUAUACUGAUGAGAGAAGCCAAAGGGAGGCAACAAGGAAAAGAAGAGAAACUGGAAGCUGGGAUGAUUGACAGACUAGAAUGACAGGCUGCUGAAACUGAAUGAAACCCCAGAAGUUAUCAAUUCAUCCUUCACUUUUUGAGUUUUUAUUGAAGUAUGUUAUAAUUAUAGAAAAGUGCACACAUUAGACACACAGUUUGGUAAACUUUCAUAAACCAACCACAGCCAUAGCAUCAGCACUCAAAUGGAGAAACCAAAAGCGGCAGCACCCUGGGAGCUCCCGGAGCGCUUCUGCUGUCGGACUCCUCCCCGGUAACACAUACAGUGUGUCUAACAUAUAUUGGUUUUGCCAGCUUUGUACAUUAGCUAAAUUGAGUGUCACAGUAUGUGUUUAUAUCUGGUUUCUUUCCUUCAACGUCAUGUUUGUGAAAUUUAUUCACACGGUUGUGUGCAGCUAUGUUGUUCCUGCUCACAGCAGUUUUGUGCCCUUGGGUGAAAACACCACAUUUUCUAUUGGAGGCUGCAUAGCUGUCUGAAGUUGCACGUGAGUGUGGGACCCAGCACAGGAGGCCCAACUGGACUCCUGCCCAGUGCUCAUGUCACUACCUCACACUACCCACCUUCAACAUUAAGUUCUACAUGCUAUGCUGUGCAUACCUGUCACAUUCCCUUGAAUUAGGACGGAAGCUGGAUUCACCCCAUGUGCAGAGUGGGGUUAAUAAAAGCAAGUUUUGGCAAUAUACUCCUUCCAUGGCACAUAAACUUCAAGUCACAAAUCUGGAUGUGCAUAAAGGUGUUAACACCAAGAGUUGGGGUAAUAUUUCAUCUGCUCUGAAUGCAAUCUCUAUUUCUGGAUGUAUUCAUUUGGCAGGGAGUUCUGCCACUUAAGAGCUAGAGUCGAUUCUCCAGGGAGGCAAGGGGAUUUUUUUCCUGGAGAGCCAUCUUGAGACUGAGAAUACAUCAACGAACUCUGCUCUUAGCAGUACAGGUCAAGUGUUGGAGGCAGUGGAGGUCAAUGUCUUGCUGAGCCAAUGUGAGCCUUCUGUGGGGCCUGGCAAAGCUAGACAUUCCCUCUCUGCAGCUCUGCAACCUUUCUUCCCCCAUAACGUGCCUCUCACAUCCCGUCCCCAAGGAGCCACUUAUUCCCAUGACAGGUUUAUGGUCUAGUUGAACCAGCUGCCCCUCUGGCCAUGUGCACAGUUAGAGAGGCAGGGGCCUCUAGUCAUUCUCUCUCCCUCUGCCCUGGCGUCAGCCACAAAUUCCAGCAGGCUCAUUAAAGUGUCCACCUGUCUGAGCACCUCAUCAGAAGGAUUCAAUGGCUGCAGAACCUCGCUGCUCCCUCCACCUGGAGCGGGGCUGACCCUGCAGUGGCGCGUUUGGCCUGAGCCCCUUUCGUUUUUACCCUCAGGAAGCUUGGGGGCUGCGCAGGCCAGGGCUCUGCCUGGGCUCUGAAUGCUGGAGAGAAGGAGGAGAGAGGAAGUGGGAGAGGAUGUAGUAGUUUCCCCUGUCUACUUUCUCUACCUUCUUUUCUCCUCUACCCUCCCUUUCCAAGCUCAACUUCCUUGACAGUAUUAAGGAAAUACCUUUUUUAGUUACCAAAAUAAGUUGCUCUGUGGAGAAUUUCUGAUGAUCUCAUGGUGAUUUUCCUGCACCCGGAAGACACUUUGCUUUGCUUUGGGACCAUGGAUAUUCCUUGGGGCAGCCACCAAGGAUGAAUAAGGUUUGAAUGGGGAGGCACUGGCCUCGGAGCUCCUUGCUGCUGACAUCAGUUGUGCCCUUGUAGGAGACGUCCUGGUCCUGUCUGCCUCAGAGGCUUCCAUCUGCGGAUUUCCUGAGGUCGUCCCCUUACUCCUCUGCUGCAGUCUCUCUCAACAUUUCAACUGUCUGCUCCAGAAAGUUACUCUGUCACUAAGUAAAAUAAAUACAAACAAAAUAAGCAAUAAUCUACCCCCUUCCUUUCUCCUCUGGUCCCCUCUCUGUCUGCCUGUCACCCCCUCCUCAAUGAGAACGUGGAUCCCUCGUGGCAUUUCUCUGGAGGGAUGGCCCAGGCUUUCCCAGCCCAUGCACUCUCAGCCAGAUCAUUUGCCUGCGGUCCCAUGGCCGUCUCCAAAAUGUGCUCUCCUCCAAAGACUAGUUUUGCUGAUUGUCUUUGUUGCAAACUGUUUUUCUCCACACUACGCAAUUGGCAUUGCCUUUUUCAAAGUAUAUAUUUGUUUUUAUUUGCCAAAUCCACUUGAAUAUACUCAGCUUUACUAUGGAGUUUG